UGGAGUUUAAACGGAAGCUCUAACAUUUGGGAGAGCGCCAGAUAAGGAGCUUGCUCCUUUGACGUUAGCGGCGGACGGGUGAGUAACACGUGGGUCAACCUACCUAUAAGACUGGAAUAACUCCGGGAAACCGGGGCUAAUGCUGGAUAAUAUUUAGAACCGCAUGGUUCUAAAGUGAAAGAUGGUUUUGCUAUCACUUAUAGAUGGACCCGCGCCGCAUUAGCUAGUUGGUGGGGUAAUGGCUUACCAAGGCAACGAUACGUAGCCGACCUGAGAGGGUGAUCGGCACACUGGAACUGAGACACGGCCAGACUCCUACGGGAGGCAGCAGUAGGGAAUCUUCCGCAAUGGGCGAAAGCCUGACGGACAACGCCGCGUGAGUGAUGAAGGUCUUCGGAUCGUAAAACUCUGGUAUUAGGGAAGAACAAAUGUGUAGGUGACUUGUGCACGUAUUGACGGUACCUAAUCAGAAAGCCACGGGGUAAAUACGUGCCAAGAGCCGGGUAAUACGUAGGUGGCAAGCGUAAUUCGGAAUAUUGGCGUAAACGCGCGAGGCGGUUCUUAAGGUUGAUGUGAAAGCCCACGGCUUAACCGGGGGGGUAUUGGAAACUGGCAACUUUAGUGCAGAAAAGAAAAGUGGAAUCCAUUUAGGGGGGAAUCCCGGGAAUUGGGGAAACCCAGGGGGAAGGGGAAUUUGGGCCCCCCCCGGUAACCCAUUAAGGGCUAAGGGUUAGGGGGGUUUCCCCCCCUUUAGUGCCCCCGGCUUACGGCUUUUAAGCACUCCGCCUUGGGGGUACGACCGCAAGGUUGAAACUCAAAGGAAUUGACGGGGACCCGCACAAGCGGGGGAGCAUGUGGUUUUAAUUCGAAGCAACCGCGAAGAACCUUACCAAAUCUUGACAUCCUUUGACAACUCUAGAGAUAGAGUCUUCCCCUUCGGGGGACAAAGUGACAGGUGGUGCAUGGUUGUCGUCAGCUCGUGUCGAGAGAUGUUGGGUUAAGUCCCGCAACGAGCGCAACCCUUAAGCUUAGUUGCCAGCAUUAAGUUGGGCACUCUAAGUUGACUGCCGGUGAAAACCGGAGGAAGGUGGGGAUGACGUCAAAUCAUCAUGCCCCUUAUGAUUUGGGCUACACACGUGCUACAAUGGACAAUACAAAGGGCAGCUAAACCGCGAGGUCAUGCAAAUCCCAUAAAGUGGUUCUCAAGUUCGGAUUGUAGGCUGGACUCGACUACAUGAAGCUGGAAUCGCUAGUAAUCGGAGAUAAGCAUGGUACGGGGAAUACGUUUCCGGGUCUUGGACAAACCGGCCGGUAGACCAAGGAGAGUCUGUAACACCCGAAGCCGGGGGGGGUAACCCAUUUAUGGGGCUAGCCGCCGAAGGGGGGACAAAUAAUGGGGGGAAG
This 1404-nucleotide ribosomal RNA is filed under the name Staphylococcus sp. SKS20. RNAcentral's name for it is "partial 16S ribosomal RNA". It matches the Rfam family "Bacterial small subunit ribosomal RNA". Lineage: Bacteria; Bacillati; Bacillota; Bacilli; Caryophanales; Staphylococcaceae. The record is from RNAcentral.